RNAcentral lists this ribosomal RNA (1617 nucleotides) under uncultured bacterium. RNAcentral's name for it is "bacterial SSU rRNA". It matches the Rfam family "Bacterial small subunit ribosomal RNA". The record is from RNAcentral.
GGACGAACGCUGGCGGCGUGCUUCACACAUGCAAGUCGAACGGUCUGGAAGUUAGACAUCAGAGGUCAGAUGUCUGAAAUCGAAGCAAUUUGCCUAGGGCAAAUUGCCACAAGAAAUCCGAUUUCUGAUUUCCGAUGUCUGACUUCCAGAUAGUGGCGGACGGGUGAGUAACACGUGAGCAACCUGCCCGACAACUCGGGAUAACAGCGGGAAACCGUUGCUAAUACCGGAUACUCCAGUUCUAACGCAUGUUAGAACUGGGAAAGGGUUUACCGAUGUCGGAUGGGCUCGCGACCCAUUAGCUUGUUGGUGGGGUAACGGCCUACCAAGGCUGCGAUGGGUAGCUGGUCUGAGAGGACGAUCAGCCACACUGGAACUGAGACACGGUCCAGACUCCUACGGGAGGCAGCAGUGGAGAAUAUUGCACAAUGGGCGAAAGCCUGAUGCAGCGACGCCGCGUGGAGGAUGAAGGCCUUCGGGUCGUAAACUCCUGUCUGGGGGGAUGAAUAAUGACAGUACCCCCGGAGGAAGCCCCGGCUAACUACGUGCCAGCAGCCGCGGUAAUACGUAGGGGGCAAGCGUUGUCCGGAAUUACUGGGCGUAAAGCGCGCGCAGGUGGCUUGUUAAGUCAGGUGUCAAAAUGCGGGGCUCAACUCCGCAGCGCACUUGAAACUGGCAGGCUUGAGUGCAGGAGAGGAAAGUGGAAUUCCUAGUGUAGCGGUGAAAUGCGUAGAUAUUAGGAGGAACACCAGUGGCGAAGGCGACUUUCUGGACUGCAACUGACACUGAGGCGCGAAAGCUAGGGGAGCAAACAGGAUUAGAUACCCUGGUAGUCCUAGCCGUAAACGAUGGGUACUAGGUGUUGGGGGUGACAAUCCUCCAGUGCCGCAGUUAACGCAUUAAGUACCCCGCCUGGGGACUACGGCCGCAAGGCUGAAACUCAAAGGAAUUGACGGGGGCCCGCACAAGCAGCGGAGCAUGUGGUUUAAUUCGAUGCAACGCGAAAAACCUUACCAGGGCUUGACAUCCUCUGAAGCUAUAAGAGAUUAUAGUGUCCCUUCGGGGCAGAGAGACAGGUGGUGCAUGGUUGUCGUCAGCUCGUGUCGUGAGAUGUUGGGUUAAGUCCCGCAACGAGCGCAACCCUUAUUCUCAGUUGCCAUCACUUAGGGUGGGCACUCUGAGGAGACUGCCGGUGACAAACCGGAGGAAGGUGGGGAUGACGUCAAAUCAUCAUGCCCCUUAUGUCCUGGGCUACACACGUGCUACAAUGGCCUGAACAACGGGCGUGCGAAGGAGCGAUCCGGAGCAAAUCCCUUAAAUCAGGUCCCAGUUCGGAUUGCAGGCUGCAACUCGCCUGCAUGAAGUCGGAGUUGCUAGUAAUCGCGGAUCAGAAUGCCGCGGUGAAUGCGUUCCCGGGCCUUGUACACACCGCCCGUCACACCACGAAAGUUUGCAACACCCGAAGCCGGUGAGCUAACCCUCCUAGAGAUUAGAGGUUAGAAGUUUGAGGUUAGAAUAAAGGCCGCUUAACAAGUGGCAAAAAUCCAACUUCCAACAUCUAAUUUCUAACCUCUAGGUGGGAGGCAGCCGUCGAAGGUGGGGCAGAUAAUUGGGGUG